This 1344-nucleotide ribosomal RNA is filed under the name Streptococcus thermophilus. RNAcentral's name for it is "bacterial SSU rRNA". It matches the Rfam family "Bacterial small subunit ribosomal RNA", at positions 31 to 1361 of the family's 1533-position model. The record is from RNAcentral. Lineage: Bacteria; Bacillati; Bacillota; Bacilli; Lactobacillales; Streptococcaceae.
CGACGCUGGCGGCGUGCCUAAUACAUGCAAGUAGAACGCUGAAGAGAGGAGCUUGCUCUUCUUGGAUGAGUUGCGAACGGGUGAGUAACGCGUAGGUAACCUGCCUUGUAGCGGGGGAUAACUAUUGGAAACGAUAGCUAAUACCGCAUAACAAUGGAUGACACAUGUCAUUUAUUUGAAAGGGGCAAUUGCUCCACUACAAGAUGGACCUGCGUUGUAUUAGCUAGUAGGUGAGGUAAUGGCUCACCUAGGCGACGAUACAUAGCCGACCUGAGAGGGUGAUCGGCCACACUGGGACUGAGACACGGCCCAGACUCCUACGGGAGGCAGCAGUAGGGAAUCUUCGGCAAUGGGGGCAACCCUGACCGAGCAACGCCGCGUGAGUGAAGAAGGUUUUCGGAUCGUAAAGCUCUGUUGUAAGUCAAGAACGGGUGUGAGAGUGGAAAGUUCACACUGUGACGGUAGCUUACCAGAAAGGGACGGCUAACUACGUGCCAGCAGCCGCGGUAAUACGUAGGUCCCGAGCGUUGUCCGGAUUUAUUGGGCGUAAAGCGAGCGCAGGCGGUUUGAUAAGUCUGAAGUUAAAGGCUGUGGCUCAACCAUAGUUCGCUUUGGAAACUGUCAAACUUGAGUGCAGAAGGGGAGAGUGGAAUUCCAUGUGUAGCGGUGAAAUGCGUAGAUAUAUGGAGGAACACCGGUGGCGAAAGCGGCUCUCUGGUCUGUAACUGACGCUGAGGCUCGAAAGCGUGGGGAGCGAACAGGAUUAGAUACCCUGGUAGUCCACGCCGUAAACGAUGAGUGCUAGGUGUUGGAUCCUUUCCGGGAUUCAGUGCCGCAGCUAACGCAUUAAGCACUCCGCCUGGGGAGUACGACCGCAAGGUUGAAACUCAAAGGAAUUGACGGGGGCCCGCACAAGCGGUGGAGCAUGUGGUUUAAUUCGAAGCAACGCGAAGAACCUUACCAGGUCUUGACAUCCCGAUGCUAUUUCUAGAGAUAGAAAGUUACUUCGGUACAUCGGUGACAGGUGGUGCAUGGUUGUCGUCAGCUCGUGUCGUGAGAUGUUGGGUUAAGUCCCGCAACGAGCGCAACCCCUAUUGUUAGUUGCCAUCAUUCAGUUGGGCACUCUAGCGAGACUGCCGGUAAUAAACCGGAGGAAGGUGGGGAUGACGUCAAAUCAUCAUGCCCCUUAUGACCUGGGCUACACACGUGCUACAAUGGUUGGUACAACGAGUUGCGAGUCGGUGACGGCGAGCUAAUCUCUUAAAGCCAAUCUCAGUUCGGAUUGUAGGCUGCAACUCGCCUACAUGAAGUCGGAAUCGCUAGUAAUCGCGAUCAGACGCCGCG